RNAcentral lists this non-coding RNA (524 nucleotides) under Pan troglodytes (chimpanzee). The record is from RNAcentral. Lineage: Eukaryota; Metazoa; Chordata; Mammalia; Primates; Hominidae.
GCUCUAUUCCAGAAGCAGUCUGGAGCACAAAGAAUCCCUAAUCACUGACAUUAAGAAAGAAGAAAAAUAUUCCUAGGACGAUCCUGGAGAGCAAAGGUCAUCAGCAGUCACUUGACUUUCCUUGGAUUUCUCAACUGCAAUAGUCACAUGGUCUGCUGAAAAUGAAUUCUCUUUAUUUUCAUCUGAUUUCAAGGAAUUAUGGUUUUCAGUGAUUUCUUCAUUUGGAUCUAUUUUGAGACAGAGUAAUAGCAUUAAAACCCCCUUCUGAAUUAAUAAGGCAUUUGUUGCUGAAACGCAAAGUGUGACAAGCCAAUGGAGGCCAAGAUUUGAUUUUGAUAGCUCUUCCUACAAUUAUCCUUUGAAGGAAAGCAUAAAGAAGACAGAGAAAGAAGAGACACACACAUGCAGAGAAAACACAGGGAAGAAGGCCACAUGGGAUGAAGGCAGAGAUGGGAAUGAUGCAGCUACAAGCCAGCUACAAGCCAAGGAAUGCCAUGGACUGCCGGCAACCACUAGAAAGAAGC